RNAcentral lists this ribosomal RNA (217 nucleotides) under uncultured bacterium. Its description in RNAcentral is "partial 16S ribosomal RNA". It matches the Rfam family "Bacterial small subunit ribosomal RNA", at positions 524 to 740 of the family's 1533-position model. The record is from RNAcentral.
UACGGGGGGUGCGAGCGUUGUCCGGAAUCACUGGGCGUAAAGGGCGCGUAGGUGGCCUGAUAAGGGUGUGGUGAAAGUCCGGGGCUCAACCCCGGAUCGGCCGUGCCGACUGUUAGGCUAGAGUACUGUAGGGGCAGGCGGAAUUCCGGGUGUAGCGGUGGAAUGCGUAGAGAUCCGGAGGAAGACCGGUGGCGAAGGCGGCCUGCUGGGCAGUUAC